AUCCUCCUGCCUCAGCCUCCCAAGCCACAGGGAUUAUAAGCAUGCACCCCCAUGCUCAGCUCUUUUCUUUUCUCUUUUUAAAAUAGUAAAUGGUUACCUGCAAUAUAAAGUCCAUUUUUUAAAGAUAGAACUGAAGCACUUUAUUAACAGUGUUGUGAAAUACCAUGUUAUGAUUUAAAGCCAGACAAGCCAUUAUUUGUAAUCCUCUAACACAUUGUAAGCUUUCAACCCAAUUGUGGGAUUAGCCUAGCCAAACUUUGGGGCAGAAUAGACAAUAGUGAUACCAAAGUACUUUGAGUAGAUGCUCAAGUCGAUUUGCAUCAGUCCUAGAGACAGCCAUGGGGGAGGAAGAAAGAACUGCCAACAAAAAUUCAGGCACUACAAAAGAAACCUCAUAAUUUCCUACUUAAUUGUUACACAGGAUGUUUAAGCUCUUGGGUGAUCUUUGGCCCAGAUAUCCAAGGCAUUUUGCUGUCAGGGUUGCUUUUCAUGAAACUGGCAAUUUUACAUUCUGAUUUCUACAGAUCUUCACUUCAGUGAGUUCCCUUGAGCCAAGAUCUUUCAUCAUCAGGUGGCCUCUGCCUAAAGGAGAUAUAAUUUUUCCAGUCUUGAGACAGACUGUCUUUUGAAAGACCAUAGUCUCAGCACAAAAAGCAAAGAAUGGGGACACAAAGCUCACAUUUUUCAGCUUAGCCAGCACCUUGCUGUGUGUCUGCCCCUGUGCUUGGCUUCAAGACCCAGGGGGAAGCCUGUGGAGCAAAACCAGAUACUGAAUGAGGUGCCCUGGGGUGGGGGG
Molecule: long non-coding RNA, 796 nt
Filed under: Marmota monax (woodchuck)
Lineage: Eukaryota; Metazoa; Chordata; Mammalia; Rodentia; Sciuridae
Source: RNAcentral